This 212-nucleotide long non-coding RNA is filed under the name Eucalyptus grandis. RNAcentral describes it as "long non-coding RNA (EGRA_LNC005903)". The record is from RNAcentral. Lineage: Eukaryota; Viridiplantae; Streptophyta; Magnoliopsida; Myrtales; Myrtaceae.
CACUCUUCAGUUGCUGAUUUGGCAUGCUUGGAUGAAAUAACUUUGCAAGAUACUCCUAUAAGUCUUUCUGAAGAUACCAGGGGUAGGGCUUUGGUGGCUAGCCCAAAUAAGCCACCGGUUCACAAAUGAGAGCUAUAUGUUGGAACUGUCAGGGGUUGGGCACACCACUGACAGUUCAGAAUUUGAGAGCCAUGGUGGCUUAGGAAAGGCCC